CCUACGUGAGGCAGCAGUGAGGAAUAUUGGUCAAUGGGCGGGAGCCUGAACCAGCCAAGUCGCGUGAGGGAAGACGGUCCUAUGGAUUGUAAACCUCUUUAGGCGGGGAGCAAUGCCGGGCACGCGUGCCCGGAGGGAGAGUACCCGCAGACUAAGCAGCGGCUAACUCCGUGCCAGCAGCCGCGGUAAUACGGAGGAUGCGAGCGUUAUCCGGAUUUAUUGGGUUUAAAGGGUGCGUAGGUUGUUUUUUAAGUCAGCGGUGAAAGUUUGUGGCUCAACCAUAAAAUUGCCGUUGAAACUGGAAGACUUGAGUGUGUUUGAGGUAGGCGGAAUGCGUGGUGUAGCGGUGAAAUGCAUAGAUAUCACGCAGAACUCCGAUUGCGAAGGCAGCAUACCGGCGCCCGACUGACGCUGAGGCACGAAAGCGUGGGGAUCGAACAGGAUUAGAUACCCCUGUAGUC
Molecule: ribosomal RNA, 461 nt
Filed under: uncultured bacterium
Lineage: Bacteria
Description: partial 16S ribosomal RNA
Rfam family: Bacterial small subunit ribosomal RNA
Source: RNAcentral